Nothoprocta perdicaria is the source of this 189-nucleotide long non-coding RNA. RefSeq lists it as uncharacterized. The record is from RefSeq and is a predicted model, not a curated record. The transcript is spliced from 2 exons. Lineage: Eukaryota; Metazoa; Chordata; Aves; Tinamiformes; Tinamidae.
CCUCGUGUUCCUGCUGGUGACGCUGCACAAGAUGAUCCGCAGCUCGGCCGCCCUCAAGCCCGACUCCAGCCGCCUCGACAGCAUCAAGUCGUGGGCGCUGGGCGCCAUCGCGCUGCUGCUGCUGCUGGGCCUCACGUGGGCCUUCGGCCUCCUCUUCGUCACGCGCGAGUCGCUGCUCACCGCGUCGCU